AAGUUGCAUGGUGUAGACCCGAAACCGGGUGACCUAUCCAUGGCCAGGUUGAAGCGAGAGUAAAAUCUCGUGGAGGACCGAACCACGUUGGUGUUGAAAAACCAUGGGAUGAGCUGUGGAUAGCGGAGAAAUUCCAAUCGAACUCGGAGAUAGCUGGUUCUCCUCGAAAUAGCUUUAGGGCUAGCGUCGUGUAAUUGAGUAAUGGAGGUAGAGCACUGAAUGGGCUAGGGGCUAUAGUAGUUACCGAACCCUAUCAAACUCCGAAUGCCAUAUACUUGUAUCACGGCAGUCAGACUGCGAAUGAUAAGAUCCGUAGUCAAAAGGGAAACAGCCCAGACCAUCAGCUAAGGUCCCAAAGUGUAAGUUAAGUGGAAAAGGAUGUGGGAUUUCUAAGACAACUAGGAUGUUGGCUUAGAAGCAGCCACUCAUUUAAAGAGUGCGUAAUAGCUCACUAGUCAAGAGAUCCUGCGCCGAAGAUGUCCGGGGCUCAAACUUACCACCGAAGCUAUGGGUGUACACUAUGUGUACGCGGUAGAGGAGCUUUCUGUAUGGGUUGAAGUCGUACCGUAAGGAGCGGUGGACUGUACAGAAGUGAGAAUGCUGGCAUAAGUAGCGAGAAAUAAGUGAGAAUCUUAUUGGCCGAAAACCUAAGGUUUCCUGAGGAAGGUUCGUCCGCUCAGGGUUAGUCGGGACCUAAGCCGAGGCCGAAAGGCGUAGGUGAUGGACAAUCGGUUGAUAUUCCGAUACC
Molecule: ribosomal RNA, 748 nt
Filed under: Clostridium botulinum
Lineage: Bacteria; Bacillati; Bacillota; Clostridia; Eubacteriales; Clostridiaceae
Description: partial 23S ribosomal RNA
Rfam family: Bacterial large subunit ribosomal RNA
Source: RNAcentral